Nymphaea colorata (pocket water lily) is the source of this 1667-nucleotide long non-coding RNA. RefSeq lists it as uncharacterized. The transcript is spliced from 2 exons. NCBI's taxonomy places the organism in Eukaryota, Viridiplantae, Streptophyta, Magnoliopsida, Nymphaeales, Nymphaeaceae. The record is from RefSeq and is a predicted model, not a curated record.
CGGUGACUGUGGGUUGGCGAAACGGUGGAGGAGCGGAGUAGUGACGGCGGAGCGGCGAUGUUGAGAGCGGAGAUGGCGGAGGAGCAACGAUGAGAGGGCGACGCCUCUGGUGCGACCGUGAGAAGGCAAGAAUGCGAGGGAGAAGAAGCUACGUAGGGAGGACGUUUGGGGUGAAAGCAUUGUCGAGCGGGUGAAAUUUCACCCGCUCCUUUUUACAUUAAACGGGUGAAAAAUCACCCUGUUUGAUGCUUGUUUUGUCGGGCGGGUGAAAUUUCACCCGCCCGUACAAAUUUCAACCGCUCCAUCGACUUUUUCUCGCCCAUCAAACGGGGCCUAGGUUUGAUAGCUACAGGACACCCGACACCGAACAGGCUGGACACGACGGACGAUUGAACAGGACUAUAAAUUCAAUUUCUGUUUCACGCUAGAACAGACAUGAUAGGACAGCCCCUCCCGCUCCCGAUCCUGAGCCCUCGACCCCGUUUUUCUUUCCUCCCCGGAACUGCCUUUCUCCUCCGACUCUGGUUUUGGACCUAAUCCUCUUCACCUUUUUCCUCGUGCUCAUCAUCUGUGCUCCUCUCCUGAACGGGCAGGCCGCACUUCCUUCCACCCUCUUCCCAGAUCCCCUGCUUCGUAUUGCUUCAGGCCGCACUUCCUUCCACCCUCUUCCCAGAUCCCCUGCUUCGUAUUGCUUCCUGGUACAAAGAUCGGUUCGGCGACUACCUCGUCUCGGAGCAUCCUUCUUCUUCGUGAGGCUGGUCUGGCAUGAGUUGUUCUUCAUCUGGCCCCUUGCCAUCUUCAACGCCUACGCCAUGCUCGCCAUUGCCAUCGCCAACGCCUACGCCAUGCUCGCGAGGAGGUCCUGGUUCAAUACCAUCUGCGAUGAGAUCCUCGCUCCUUACCUCCAUGAGCAAGGAGACAAAACCCAAAUAAGUGAAUAUACUGCAUUGGAAGCCAUGAUGCCAUGAUGGCGGUUGGGAAUAUACUGCAACCUGUGAAUGGUUCUCAAAGCAUCCAAUCAAUCAUGUUAAUGAGCAUGCAGGGUGCCACACUCUUCAAUAAUGAUAUAGAGAGGUAACAAAUUAGCAGUUUAUAUUAGAAUCAUAUUUUCUUGCUUUGCGGGCCAGGCUGAAAAAGGAGAUACCAACUGAGCAAUUCCUUUUGAAUUUUAUUGUUCGAGGAAUGGUGUGUCGAUUGAAGAGAGCAUAUAUGAAAUCACAUACCAUGGAAAGGGAAGAAUGUCGGUGACUACACUGACUGUUUGCUUUUACAGGUUUUUCUCUCUCUAGGGUGUGAUAUUUAAGUAAGGUGUUCCUUUUCAUUGCAGGGAUUUGGUGAGAAAUGCACGCCAAGAGGUCAGUGUACAUUUGGACCUAGGCUGCAAGAUGAUGAAAUCAAACUCCUAGCCAUGUUUGUGAAGUCGCAUGCUGAACAAGGAUGGCCGAACAUUGAAAUUUAUAAAUAUUGAUCUUUGUAGACAAUGGCAUUUCUAUAGAAAGGAGGGCUUCAAUAUUGAAUAAUAUACUAUUUAUACAUGUGCUUGAUAUUGUAAAAAAAAACUACUACCAGAAUCUUAGAUGCACCAUUUCUAGUCCAACAUGGCGAACUGGUUUCAGCUUGCUUGUCAACUUUCUUCGUUAAUGAAAAAACAAGCUGUUUGGGUCUUA